Molecule: ribosomal RNA, 1306 nt
Filed under: uncultured bacterium
Lineage: Bacteria
Description: bacterial SSU rRNA
Rfam family: Bacterial small subunit ribosomal RNA
Source: RNAcentral
AACGUACGCUGGCGGCACGCCUAACACAUGCAAGUCGAACGAAGUAGCAAUACUUAGUGGCAGACGGGUGAGUAACAUGUAGGUAUCUGCCCUUUGGCCUGGAAUAACACGAGGAAACUUGUGCUAAUACCGGAUAAGUCUUUACGGAGAAAGCUUUAUGCACCAUUGGAUGAGCCUGCACUUGAUUAGUUUGUUGGUGGGGUAAUGGCCUACCAAGACUGUGAUCAAUAGCUGAUUUGAGAGGAUGAUCAGCCACAUUGGGACUGAGACACGGCCCAAACUCCUACGGGAGGCAGCAGUGGGGAAUCUUGCACAAUGGAGGAAACUCUGAUGCAGCGAUGCCGCGUGAGUGAAGAAGGCCUUUGGGUUGUAAAGCUCUUUCGUCGGGGAAGAAAAUGACUGUACCCGAAUAAGAAGGUCCGGCUAACUUCGUGCCAGCAGCCGCGGUAAUACGAAGGGACCUAGCGUAGUUCGGAAUUACUGGGCUUAAAGAGUUCGUAGGUGGUUGAAAAAGUUAGUGGUGAAAUCCCAGAGCUUAACUCUGGAACUGCCAUUAAAACUUUUCAGCUAGAGUAUGAUAGAGGAAAGCAGAAUUUCUAGUGUAGAGGUGAAAUUCGUAGAUAUUAGAAAGAAUACCAAUUGCGAAGGCAGCUUUCUGGAUCAUUACUGACACUGAGGAACGAAAGCAUGGGUAGCGAAGAGGAUUAGAUACCCUCGUAGUCCAUGCCGUAAACGAUGUGUGUUAGACGUUGGAAAUUUAUUUUCAGUGUCGCAGGGAAACCGAUAAACACACCGCCUGGGGAGUACGACCGCAAGGUUAAAACUCAAAUGAAUUGACGGGGACCCGCACAAGUAGUGGAGCAUGUGGUUUAAUUCGAAGAUACGCGCAGAACCUUACCAACACUUGACAUGUUCGUCGCGACUCUAAGAGAUUAGAGUUUUCGGUUCGGCCGGACGAAACACAGGUGCUGCAUGGCUGUCGUCAGCUCGUGUCGUGAGAUGUUGGGUUAAGUCCCGCAACGAGCGCAACCCUCACUUUUAGUUGCCAUCAUUAAGUUGGGCACUCUGAAAGAACUGCCAGUGAUAAGCUGGAGGAAGGUGGGGAUGACGUCAAGUCCUCAUGGCCCUUACGUGUUGGGCUACACACGUGCUACAAUGGUAUCUACAACAGGAAGCAAGACUGCGAAGUUAAGCAAAUCCUUAAAAGAUACCUCAGUUCGGAUUGCACUCUGCAACUCGAGUGCAUGAAGCUGGAAUUACUAGUAAUCGUGGAUCAGCGUGCCACGGUGAAUGCGUUCCCGGGUCU